AUUGAACGCUGGCGGCAUGCCUUACACAUGCAAGUCGAACGGCAGCAUGGAGGAGCUUGCUCCUCUGAUGGCGAGUGGCGAACGGGUGAGUAAAGCAUCGGAACGUGCCGUGUAGUGGGGGAUAACGUAGCGAAAGUUACGCUAAUACCGCAUACGCACCGAGGUGGAAAGCAGGGGAUCGCAAGACCUUGCGCUAUACGAGCGGCCGAUGUCAGAUUAGCUAGUUGGUAGGGUAAAGGCCUACCAAGGCGACGAUCUGUAGCGGGUCUGAGAGGAUGAUCCGCCACACUGGGACUGAGACACGGCCCAGACUCCUACGGGAGGCAGCAGUGGGGGAAUUUUGGUACAAUGGGGGAAACCCGUACGAUCCAGCCAUGCCGCCGUGAGUGAAG
RNAcentral lists this ribosomal RNA (392 nucleotides) under uncultured bacterium. Its description in RNAcentral is "bacterial SSU rRNA". It matches the Rfam family "Bacterial small subunit ribosomal RNA", at positions 30 to 410 of the family's 1533-position model. The record is from RNAcentral.